RNAcentral lists this ribosomal RNA (561 nucleotides) under Triticum aestivum (bread wheat). RNAcentral's name for it is "partial small subunit ribosomal RNA". Lineage: Eukaryota; Viridiplantae; Streptophyta; Magnoliopsida; Poales; Poaceae. The record is from RNAcentral.
AUGGGAGCGGGUCAUAACGGCGUGUCGGCGCUCGGCCUUGUCCUGGCCGUGGCGGCCGCGCUGCUGGUGUGCCAGUGCGCGGCGCAGGCGCAGGCGCCGGCGCAGGCUCCAUCUGGUGGCAGCGGGGGCUCUGGUUGCAUGCCGGAGCUCGUCAGCCUGUCGCCGUGCAUGGGCUACAUGUCGGGCAACGCGACGGCGCCCGGGGAGCCGUGCUGCGCGGCGGUGUCCGGCGUGCUGCGGUCCAGCCCGCGGUGCCUCUGCGCGGUGCUCGGCGGCACGGCGGCCACGCUCGGCGUCGCCCUGGACGGCGCCCGCGCGCUGCAGAUGCCCGCGGCGUGCAGGGUCCAGGCGCCGCCCGCCAGCCAGUGCGACUCCAUGGGUGUUCCGAUGUCUUCUCCGGCGACGCCCUACGAUCCCGACGUUACCCCUGCAGGGUCUGGAUCCAAGGCCACUCCGACGCCUCAGUACUCCCACGGGAACGUCAACAGAGCAGGAGCAGGAAGGAGAAGUCUGGCCUUCGUCGUCGCCGUCGUAGCAAUAGCUCUGAUUCGUGGACCCUGA